UUAAAACUUUCAACAACGGAUCUCUUGGUUCUCGCAUCGAUGAAGAACGCAGCAAAAUGCGAUAAGUAAUGUGAAUUGCAGAAUUGUGAAUCAUCGAAUCUUUGAACGCACAUUGCGCCUUUUGGUAUUCCAAAAGGCAUGCCUGUUUGAGCGUGAUU
This 158-nucleotide ribosomal RNA is filed under the name Zygoascus hellenicus. RNAcentral describes it as "5.8S ribosomal RNA". It matches the Rfam family "5.8S ribosomal RNA". Rfam says of the family: 5.8S ribosomal RNA (5.8S rRNA) is a component of the large subunit of the eukaryotic ribosome. It is transcribed by RNA polymerase I as part of the 45S precursor that also contains 18S and 28S rRNA. The record is from RNAcentral. Lineage: Eukaryota; Fungi; Ascomycota; Dipodascomycetes; Dipodascales; Trichomonascaceae.